AAAUUGAAGAGUUUGAUCAUGGCUCAGAUUGAACGCUGGCGGCAGGCCUAACACAUGCAAGUCGAACGGUAGCACAGAGAGCUUGCUCUCGGGUGACGAGUGGCGGACGGGUGAGUAAUGUCUGGGAAACU
This 131-nucleotide ribosomal RNA is filed under the name Salmonella enterica subsp. enterica serovar Muenchen. Its description in RNAcentral is "partial 16S ribosomal RNA". It matches the Rfam family "Bacterial small subunit ribosomal RNA", at positions 1 to 126 of the family's 1533-position model. RNAcentral also lists the same sequence under 4 other names. Lineage: Bacteria; Pseudomonadati; Pseudomonadota; Gammaproteobacteria; Enterobacterales; Enterobacteriaceae. The record is from RNAcentral.